RNAcentral lists this long non-coding RNA (758 nucleotides) under Salmo salar (Atlantic salmon). Its description in RNAcentral is "lncRNA (ENSSSAG00000111032.1)". The record is from RNAcentral. Lineage: Eukaryota; Metazoa; Chordata; Actinopteri; Salmoniformes; Salmonidae.
CAGUUCAGUGUGUUAUAGUGUCUCUAGGAGGUGAACUACUGUAACAGUUCAGUGUGUUAUAGUGUCUCUAUGCGGUGAACUACUGUAACAGUUCAGUGUGUUAUAGUGUCUCUAGGAGGUGAACUACUGUAACAGUUCAGUGUGUUCUAGUGUCUCUCUCUAUGUAGUGAACUACUGUAACAGUUCAGUGUGUUCUAGUGUCUCUCUCUAUGUAGUGAACUACUGUAACAGUUCAGUGUGUUAUAGUUUAUCUAGUAGGUGAAAUACUGUAACAGUUCAGUGUGUUACAGUGCCUCUACCCUUUUGGUGAAAUACUGUAACAGUUCAGUGUUUUAUAGUGUCUCUUGGAGGUGAACUACUGUAACAGUUCAGUGUAUUAUACUGUCUCUAGGAGGUGAACUACUGUAACAGUUCAGUGUGUUAUAGUGUCGCUAUCUUGGAGGUGAACUACUGUAACAGUUCAGUGUGUUUUAGUGUCUCUAGGAGGUGAACUACUGUAACAGUUCAGUGUGUUAUAGUGUCUCUAGGAGGUGAACUACUGAAACAGUUCAGUGUGUUAUAGUGUCUCUUGGAGGUGAACUACUGAAAAGUUCAGUGUGUUAUAGUGUCACUAGGAGGUGAACUACUGUUACAGUUAAGUGUGUUAUAGUGUCACCAUCCAGGAGGUGAACUACUGUAACAGCUGUGUGUUAUAUUGUCUCUAGGAGGUGAACUACAGUAACAAUUCUGUGUGUUAUAGUGUCUCUAUCCUGUUGGUG